CUUCUAUUAUUCGAUAGUUUAUAUUCAAAUAUAUUUAGUAUACAUGUAUACAUAGUAAUGUUGUGACGUAGCAAUUUAACGAAAAUGAAGAUACGUUACAAAGUCAGGUACGACGAAAGUAAGAAGACGAUAAGUACGAAGAAGAACGUUACACCAUAAAUAUUAAAACUUCUCAAAAAUUGAAUAAAUAUUUUCUAAAUUGAAUCAAGUACUGCGCAAAAGGUUUGAGUUUUGAUAAAGAAAUUAAUUUAUACUAUAUAAAGUAUACAUAUAUAAGUACGUAAAAUCUACGUCCUACUUUUAUAUUAACAAAAGGACCUCCUGCUCCAUCAUUUCAAGAGAUUCAAAUUUUAGAUCCUGUGAUAUGGUAAAGUAUUUUCCAUUGCCGAGUUUAACAGUACGGCUGGAUGUGCAUAGAUCGUUCCUGGUUGAGCAAAGAAUUGUGGCGCAGCCGCGCAUGUCCCAGCAAGGACGAGAACAAAAAUGAUAUUCAUUUCUUGAUCACCUUACCUGUAAGAGAGAUUACAAAUAUUAAGGAUACAAGUGUUAAAUAAUUCAUUAGAUCAAUAAUAAUGUUAUCAAAUUUAUACGUACACAUAUAUUAUACAUAUUUAUAUGUAUUAUUUAGCAGUUUUGAUUUUAUGUGUUUAUAUACAUAUACAUAUACACAAUAUAUAUAUAUAUAUAUAUAUAUAUAUAUAUAUAUAUAUAUAUAUAUAAAAUUUGUUGGUAGGUUGUCUUCAAAAAAAUUCAACUUACCACGUUGAAACGGGAUAUUAUAAAAAUACUAUAGAAAAGGAUAGAGGAUAAACUAAUUGUCGAAAAUUAGUACGAUCCGCUUAAUAUUUCUUGUUAUCCUAGAAGAUUCUACCGUGAUAAACUUAAGAACUUCUCUUGAAACUGUCGAAAGAGAAUUGUCAACUCUAACUCUGAUACUCGUAUAUGAUAAAAGGGAGACCACAGAAAACGGAUUAAAAUUUCACCGCAACAGUCAUCAAAUAUACUCUAAGCUUUGAUUACAAUCGUUAUUGCCAUGAUCUAUCUUUCUGAUAGGAUUUAAUGUCUUUAAAUCGUAUGGAUUAUCUUGGAAAGAUGUUUUAGAUAUGAACGACGUUUCCCUUGUAAGUAUCUAACUGAAUGCACGAUCCAUGACGGCGUUACUUAUAUACGAGUUGCUCGACCAGUGCUUUCCACUCGAGCUAAGGUUACAUCCGAAGACUCGUGGUCAUUGCCUAGUCGUUGCUUUGGUCCUUCCAUCGGCUAACUUUGUCCUUAUCCUCGAGACGAGGUCAUCGAUCUUCAACUAAAUCGAGUCAAGGGUGACGAAUAUCGAUCGAUCGUUUCGAUUGAUCCAGUUAUUUAACUUCCUCUUAUAUUUUUAUUUCUUUUUAUCUUUUUCCUUUAUUUUAAACAGAUCUUUUUUGCACGAUGAUCAUCUAAACAAACAGCAGAUUUCUGAAAAUUCCUACUUCGUUUGGAAAGACUAAUUCCAUCUUUUUGUUUGUUUCUCUGAAAAGAUUGAUAGAUCGUUCGUAUCGAUCGAAAGAUUUUAAUGUUGAAAUAUGAAAAAAUAAUCGAGUGAUAAACGAGCAUCCGGAUGUUACAUUACAUCGGUUUCUAUUCAUCAAAUCGUAACAUUUAUUAAUCUUUGUAUUUAUCUAUUAUUUCGCGUCCGCUUGGAACCACGAUCGAGUCGAUUAAAUUUUAGAUCUAUAGGAUGAUCUACGUAGAUAUAUAUAUAUAUGUCUUUUGGAUAUUUCUCAUUCUAGUUUCACUUUUUACAUCAGAAUGUCCGAAUUCCAUGGGCGUAUCCGGCACACCCGUUUGUUACGAUACCGAUUUCGUUCGUGAACGAAAGUUACGCAUCAAAUCGAACGUGACCAUGCAAUAUAAUGGACGCAAAAAUUUGGUAAAAAAGAAAUUCCAUCAUCCUUUGUGUUCAUUAAGAAAACCUUAGAAUUUGUUGAUUCUUUAUUCUGAACCAUGAUAGCAGAUUUAGUUAAGAAAUUCAUAAAUUUAGACGAUCAAGUUGGAAAUAUCUUUUUAUUUAGUUAAGUUUAGAUAUAUGUUUGAUUUUCAUUUUUCAUUUUUCUUUUUCAUUGUUCCGGGAUAUCUCAUAAUUUAGAUUUCAAUGGAAGUUUCGCAGUUUUCAACUCGUCGUUAAUCGAAGGUAAGGAGAGAACGGAUAUUCUUGUGGUAUUCGGGUCAAUGUUGCGACCUUACAGGCAGAAACUAACCGACAGAGCAGUCGCCCUUGUCAGAAUUGAUUCACUGAUUCAGGAAGUCGUCCACAUUGGUGAAGUCGUUUUUAAUAAUCUUCAGAAAUAUCAUAUUUCGAUAAAAGAUCUAUAUGGAGGAUUUAGAAAAGAUCUAGAUCAUUAUUCCUUGAUGACACGAUCGUUUAUGAAUGGUCAAAUUAUUAAGCAAUUUUUUAAAUCAUUUAGAACAUUAUUUGAAUACUUCAGAUCUAUAUUUUUUUUCGUUAUGAAGUAGAAUAUCGUAUCGCACAGGAUUACCUUUUAAAUAUCCAAUAUGGGUCGUGAUAUAAUAAAACAGAAAGGAUCGUAAAAAACAUAAAAUUUUUAAUUUCUAUAUCUUUUAUUUUCAUUCGUGAUAAUG
Vespula vulgaris is the source of this 2619-nucleotide RNA transcript. It is a transcript of the gene named speckle-type POZ protein B-like, with no coding region annotated. Lineage: Eukaryota; Metazoa; Arthropoda; Insecta; Hymenoptera; Vespidae. The record is from RefSeq and is a predicted model, not a curated record. The transcript has 4 exons.